This 253-nucleotide ribosomal RNA is filed under the name uncultured bacterium. Its description in RNAcentral is "partial 16S ribosomal RNA". It matches the Rfam family "Bacterial small subunit ribosomal RNA", at positions 524 to 776 of the family's 1533-position model. The record is from RNAcentral.
UACGGAGGGGACUAGCGUUGUUCGGAAUUACUGGGCGUAAAGCGCACGUAGGCGGAUUUGUAAGUCAGGGGUGAAAUCCCGGGGCUCAACCUCGGAACUGCCUUUGAUACUGCAAAUCUCGAGUCCGGAAGAGGUGAGUGGAAUUCCCUAGUGUAGAGGUGAAAUUCGUAGAUAUUGGAAGAACACCAGUGGCGAAGGCGGCUCACUGGUCCGGUACUGACGCUGAGGUGCGAAAGCGUGGGGAGCGAACAGG